RNA transcript from Phyllopteryx taeniolatus (common seadragon), 6258 nucleotides. It is a transcript of the gene named oxysterol binding protein-like 5, with no coding region annotated. The transcript is spliced from 26 exons. Lineage: Eukaryota; Metazoa; Chordata; Actinopteri; Syngnathiformes; Syngnathidae. The record is from RefSeq and is a predicted model, not a curated record.
CGCUGCGGCCGCAGUGGUCUCCGACAGCCCUCGUCUCCGCUCUGUCUACGUUGAGACGGAGCAACUUCUCCGGAACACAACAGUCCUCCAGUCUCGCAGCGUAGCAACCCUCCACUCUCCUCGCUCCUUGUGGGUAUGACGCCGAACGGAGACGGGAGCCUGCAAACGAGCGCAUGAACACCGAAACCCGGUCGCCACAGAGUGAGACAGGCGGCUUUGACAAAGGCCUCUGGAUGCGGUGUGCUGCAACUCAGUUGAAAGACGGUGUCGGUAAUGCGGAACAUCAGACUCAUUUGCUGAAGCGACCCUGAACUAAUACGUGCGAUGGAAACGCAAACCACAUGGACCACAGGAACAUUUUGCUACGAGGAACUCAAAGUUCCUGAGCUGGUUGGUGGUAAAGCACUUCAUAUAGGGGGCAAGCUAAUUGUUAGGAUGAAGGAGGAGAGUUUGUACCACCGUAGGUUUUCUUUGUGUCCAAAUGCCACUUCCCCACCCAAAAUUGACCCCCGCACCCUCACCAGAAACCUGUCUUACGGAGGAGACAAUGACCUCUACAACCUCAGCUCAGGCAGUGAGACAGACAGGCACGAUAUCUCCAUGAUGACUAAUGAACUUAGUCCUGCCCAAUCACCAGGCAGCAAGUCUGAGUCUAGGAUGUUUAAUGGUCUGGAGAAGGACUGUCCCUCCCCGACAGAAAAACUUGCUCGAAAGGCGUCUCUUAAGGUCCAAAAGCAGAAUUACCGGCAAGAAAAGAAGCGGGCUGCCAAAGAACUGUUUAGCGCGCUAAAGGACCCUAGUGUUGUCAUCAUGUCCAACUGGCUAAAGAUCCGUGGCUCUUUAAAGAGUUGGACCAAGCUGUGGUGUGCCUUGAAGCCUGGUGUUCUAUUGAUCUAUAAGACCCCUAAAACUGACCACUGGGUUGGUACCGUCCUGCUGAGUGCCUGCAAGCUCAUUGAGAGGCCCUCUAAGAAGGAUGGCUUCUGCUUCAAGCUUUACCAUCCACUGGACAAGUCCAUUUGGGCUGUCAAGGGUCCCAAAGGAGAGACUGUUGGCUCCAUCACACAGCCUUUACCAAGUAACUACCUGAUCUUCAGAGCGUCCUCAGAGUCUGAUGGCCGAUGCUGGAUGGAUGCGCUCGAGCUUGCUCUGAGUUGCUCCAGCCUCUACAAGCUAACAGCCAAGUCAGGAAAAGACGGGGACAUCAACGCAACUUCUGAGUCUUCCCACUUCCUCCAUCUUCUGCAGUCUUCCACACUAGCAGACACGGAGCUUUUGCAGUUGAAUGAGUCAGUGUUGAUGGGCAAUCACCACAUGGACCAGGACAGAUUUUCCGACAAAUCGGAGCGCGAUGGUCAUGAUGACUGGGACACCUCUGCAAUUGAUAAUGGAGGAAGGUUGACAGAGGAGAGUGAUGUGGACCAAUCAGAUGAGGCGAUGUCUCCCAUGCCACAAGCGACAGUUUAUGUCGAUCAGGGCACAGAAGAGAUGGCUGAGGCUGGCGAGGCGUCCCAAGUUGAGACUGUGUCAGAGGAAAACAAGGGUCUAAUCUGGGGUAUUUUGAAGCAGCUACGACCGGGCAUGGACCUGUCAAAGGUGGUGCUGCCCACAUUCAUUCUGGAGCCUCGCUCCUUCCUGGACAAGCUAUCCGACUACUACUAUCACGCUGAUCUGCUCUCACAAGCUGCGCAGGAGGACAGCGCAUAUGACCGGAUGAAGCAGGUAGUCAGAUGGUACUUGUCUGGCUUUUACAAGAAGCCCAAGGGUCUAAAGAAGCCUUACAACCCAAUAUUGGGGGAAACCUUUCGCUGCUGCUGGCUUCAUCCCGGAAGUGAAAGCUGCACUUUCUACGUAGCUGAACAGAUUUCGCACCAUCCACCCGUUUCUGCCUUUUAUGUCUGCAAUAGGAAGGACGGUUUUUCCAUCAGUGGAAGCAUCCUGGCAAAGUCCAAAUUCUACGGCAACUCUCUGUCUGCUAUUCUGGAGGGCAAAGCGAGGCUGCUCUUUCUGAGCAGGGAGGAGGAGUAUGUCAUCACCAUGCCCUACGCUCAUUGCAAAGGUAUUCUCUAUGGCACUAUGACACUCGAGCUGGGUGGAAAGAUUACCAUUGAAUGUGAAAAAACUAAAUGCUUCACUGAGCUGGAGUUCAAGCUAAAGCCUUUCUUGGGAGGCCCCUGCUCUGUGAAUCAGAUCAGCGGCAAAAUCUUUGUGGGAGAUGAGCUCGCUGCCACUGUUUAUGGACAUUGGGACAGUGAGGUUUUUAUUCAUGAGAAGCGCUGUGGACAGCAGGCAACACUGUGGAACCCAAGCCCCGAUGUCCGGAGCAGUCGUCUCAAGAGACGAGUGGUCCACUUUGACCAGCAGGGGGAGUUUGAGUCUGAAAGGCUGUGGCAGCAUGUGACCAGAGCAAUCAGAGAGCGUGACCAGGUGCAGGCCACGCAGGAGAAGUUUGUGCUGGAAGAAGCUCAGCGCAAAGAGUCCAGGGAGAGGGGAGAAAAACCCUGGACCCCACGACUUUUCUACCAGGACCCAGUGACCACAGAGUGGACCUACAAGCAUGUGGAAGCCCAGCCGUGGGAGCCAGAGCUUUGUCUAGUUCAGUUUGAGAGGAAUGGAGUCAUUCAAACGCUGGAGAAAACACAAAGGCAGCACAAUGGACUCUCGAACAGCGACAGCUGGCCCAGCCAACGCAAUGUUAAGGUGCAUGGGACACGCAGGAAAGCCAGCAGUCAGCCAUCCAGCUGCAGCCAGAACACUGAGAGCAGCAGCAGCACUCCGGAACCGACACGCGAGUCCUCUGAUAACGAAGCAAAAACUUGACCUCUCCGCGGCUCGCUCCUAUGUGGACUUCCCACUCAGCCCAGAUUCCUGCCGACCUCCCUGCUCGGGUGCGAGAGGCAGAAGGUUGUGGAGGUUGCGCAGCAAGCUUUGAAGGAGGCUCCAGUGACUCAUGACCCAACAAUCCACCCAGCCUCCAUGUGCCCUUCAUCUCCCCCCUUGAAAACGUCUCUCUACUCACCUCGGCCAAAACCCCUGGCCCCGAGGCCCGGAUAGCCGACGCUCGCCGGUCGUUGGCUGAAGAAAGCAGAUUGUGUUUCAGAUUCUUUCUGUGAAAGGCUCCUCUGUCUUCAUGUGUGUUGUUUUGUGUUGUAGGACAUCUGACCAGUGGCCUCUCUGCUUUAGGGGUAGAAAGCAGUACCCUGCCACGGCCAGCAGAUGGGGCACAGCCAGAAUUUUUUUCCACGGGGUGGCGGUGGAAUACUGAGGACACCGGCUGGGUGGCAGACUUUCUGUCUGGAGCGGCUGCGGCCACCGCUGGCCACCACGUAGCUCCACCCCUGCCCUCCACCUUGUCUCAGGCCCUAAAGGCAUCUGAAGAAAAACUGCCCCUAAGCGUGAUGCUGCCACCACCACGCUUGAGUGCAGGUAUGGCGUUCUUUUGGGGAUUAGUGGCGCUGUGUUCGUGCCAACAAGUUCGACCUUGGUUUCACUGUACCAUAAUAAAAUCUCCCAAACACAUGUAGGAAAUAGGCGAGGUGGUGGUUUCCAAUUGACUUGUGCAGAUUAUAGGUCACCAAAAAACCUGGCAUUUGAACAGAGGUGCGUAGACUUUUUAUAUCCUCUGUAAUAACACUGCAGUCUUGCUACUUUGGAUGUGAGUCUUGAAAACUCAAGGAAAAACCAAAUGCGUACAUAUAUUCAAUCCUGAUGAGUUGGAACUUUACACGUAUGUUUUUCAUCACAUCAGGGGCAUUCACCUUUCGAAGUUCCAUCACCCCCCCCCCCCCCCCCCCCCCAAAAAAAAGUACUUCAUUCUCUGUUGCACAUGAUUAAAAUGUGAUAAACGGACAUUAUUUUCCUGUUAGCUUAACACAUUUUAUUCAUGUGCAACCAAUGUACAUGUUCGAAUUAAAUACAUUUAAAAAAACUUUUUUCCCCCUCCCCAGUGUUGUUAGUAGUGACACUAACACACCAUGCGAGGCAGGUCCACCAAUAUUAUAGAAUAUAGAUCAUUAAAGCAGGUUAUGCGGGGAUGCUACGCUUUUGAUGAAAAGCCAUCUUACUGAAGUUAUUUAAAGGUAAACAUAAAGCACAUACUGGCUUGGCCGCAAUACAUUUAGUCACGUUCUUUUGAAUUUCUACACAUUGAUGCUGCUAAAUCAGUGCUAGGCCGUGUGUUUACAUCCGUCGUAAUAUCCGGUGAAAGCCUCCCGAGCUAUACAUAGCUGCUUUAACAAUAGGGAGCAGUGCGGAUGAGCUUGCUGUGACGGCCUGCUGACAUGCACAGCACAGCCCGCAGGUAACAGCUGCACUGUGACAGACACACGCGCGCACACGCACACUCUUAGAAACCAGUUGUAAAGUCGUAAUUGUGCCUUUGCUCUUUAGUGACAUGCCCUCGUGAUGAGGCUGUGGGAGCUAUUUGGAGCAUUGUUCUGAUAAGCCCAGUGUGUGUGUGUGUGUGUGCGUGUGGCAUUCAGCAGCGUGGGAAAAAGAACAAAUGGCUGAUGAGUGUCAAACAUAGUGUUGCCAGAGGAAAAUUACUAAAAAAAAAACAAAUUCUGUCAUGCAUUCUGCACCAGUCGGUUACGUGAGCAGUGAAGUUCCACAUUCUGUUUUGCACAUCAUAUUGGUCAUGCAUUUUUGUAAACGUAAGAUCCGGCUGAAAAAAUGUAAAUGAUAGCUGUCGCAUACAUGCGGUGGAGUAAAAUGUGCAGAAUUUCCUUCUGACACAGCGCAGUAUUGUACUUUAAUCUCUCUGCAUGUGAUCCUACUUAGGUCGACUGUUGCGGACAACAUGUGCAGCGCCAGAAUGCCAUUAGACGCUGGAAAUGAAGACCGUGAAGAGUUCCCGGUGAGAGCUACUGUGAUGAGAUCUACUACCUCAGUCUUGUUCCAGUGACUUUGUGAAAGAAUGGCAGCUAUGCAGGUCUGCUGUCUCCCCGCCUGCCAUACAAUGAAGUGUCUGCAAAGCUUCAUAGGAGAUCAUGUGAUCAACGUGGACUAUUUUCAUAUUACUGAAGAUUUUUCUUUCUGGGAAAGGAUCCACUUCAGCAACUUUUCGAAGGAAAAUACCUGGAAUAUGAUUUCAUGGCCAAGUCAAUGACCUGACCUUAACCCAAUUGAGCAUGAUUUUCACUUACAGAAGACCAAAGGGAAGGCAGCAACCCUCACAAAGUAGCAACAGCAAGUGAAGAAAAAACUCUGAACUUCAAAUCCUUUGUCUGCAAAGGAUUUUCAUCCGAGUCGUGAAAAUUAUUGUUACAAUUAAAAAAAAAAAAAAAAUCCAAAUUUAAGAAGGGGGGGGCGGAGGGUGUGUUCCAACUACGGGGGGAAUAUUUCACUUUGUCCAAAUACUAUUGAGCCCCAUUAAAUGGAGGCUGUAAAUGGUUGUAAUUCUCAAAUGCAAAUGUAUUUUGGUAUUCCGUUGCAUAUUCCAUACUUCUGAAUUUAACUGUACAUUGGGGAUUGCCAUAUUCUUCGCAUAGGUAGGACAAAUGCAUUUAUAUUGACUGGCCGCAUGUUGGCUUUUCACAAACUCAGACUGAGAGGAUUAUCAUCAGCACGUCUGGUCCGCUGAGGUCUCUUUUUUUCAUGCCAGAUGCGGUACACACUUAUCCACAUCCAAUACUACCUGCGAUUGUCGUGUCUGUGUAGACGUUUGAUCCGCGUGUCGGCGUCAGCAGCAACGCGAUCACAACUGAGAGGCGAUGAGCUCUUCGUCGCGCUCGUUGACUUGUGGAGAGCAACGCGAGGUCAUCUGCAUAAGCGAGCCUCCAUCUCUGGAACCCGAUUUGGCUCGCAUCACUUCCGAGGCCACACAAGCCUUCUUGUUCGCAUACUCUGUGUUCACAGACACGCAGUAUAGAAGUGCUGCCAAAUGCACCUUAGAGCCAAGAGCACAACAGAGGCUGCAACUGCAGCUGGUAGAGAUGAAGAGAGUGCCCUUGUGUCCACUUGUGUUGGACGACGACGACGAGAAGAUGGCUUUUAUUAUCUAUUCUGUAAUACACAAAUAAAGUUAGGCGGUAAUGUUCUUGACAUACAGUCAUUUUAUAAAUAUGGAAAUUCAGACAAAUUGUUCUGGAAGUGAAUUUCUAUAGGUUGGCAGCUCUGCAGUCACAGCAAUAAAUACGAUUUUACAAAAGAUUGGCAUAGUUUUAUCAUUAAUAAUUGGCAGGUUUUAAUUUUUGUAUUUGAAUUAAUGUAAAUGCUUUGUGUUGCAUUUUUUUUGUAUUAAAAGCUCUUACAAAUAAA